GACGAACGCUGGCGGCGUGCCUAAUACAUGCAAGUUGAGCGAUGAAGAUUGGUGCUUGCACCAAUUUUAAGAGCAGCGAACGGGUGAGUAACGCGUGGGGAAUCUGCCUUUGAGCGGGGGACAACAUUUGGAAACGAAUGCUAAUACCGCAUAACAACUUUAAACAUAAGUUUUAAGUUUGAAAGAUGCAAUUGCAUCACUCAAAGAUGAUCCCGCGUUGUAUUAGCUAGUUGGUGAGGUAAAGGCUCACCAAGGCGAUGAUACAUAGCCGACCUGAGAGGGUGAUCGGCCACAUUGGGACUGAGACACGGCCCAAACUCCUACGGGAGGCAGCAGUAGGGAAUCUUCGGCAAUCGACGAAAGUCUGACCGAGCAACGCCGCGUGAGUGAAGAAGGUUUUCGGAUCGUAAAACUCUGUUGGUAGAGAAGAACGUUGGUGAGAGUGGAAAGCUCAUCAAGUGACGGUAACUACCCAGAAAGGGACGGCUAACUACGUG
This 497-nucleotide ribosomal RNA is filed under the name uncultured bacterium. Its description in RNAcentral is "partial 16S ribosomal RNA". It matches the Rfam family "Bacterial small subunit ribosomal RNA", at positions 28 to 507 of the family's 1533-position model. The record is from RNAcentral.